Prionailurus viverrinus (fishing cat) is the source of this 643-nucleotide long non-coding RNA. RefSeq lists it as uncharacterized. The record is from RefSeq and is a predicted model, not a curated record. NCBI's taxonomy places the organism in Eukaryota, Metazoa, Chordata, Mammalia, Carnivora, Felidae. The transcript has 3 exons.
UCGGGCCCGUCAGGUUCCAGGGAAGUUUUCCUGCCAACAGGCAGGCUGGAGGCGUGGACAGGAAAUGAGAGCUGGAGGGCGUUAGCGAUAGCCUGAGCUCCAGAACAGGCAGCAAAAUGCCCCGCUGACCGAUCUCCAUUCGGCAUCAGAUGGAGGGUGUCUUCCAAGAACCCGGGGAGCAGCCUGGAGUUGAUUUCAGAAGUCUGGGCUCGGCCCCAGGCCGACAACCCUGCAGCUUGGCAGGGCAACAGUGAGGCAUGGGGCAGAGCCCGCUCAGCAGGCACCCGCUUAAUGAAAUCACCAGCUGGGAGGUCUGCAAGCCUGUGAGGGCAGAUGCCAGACCUGCUGCGCUCUAAUUCACUGUUGAAUUAGCCACACCUAGUGCAGUGCCCGGCACAUGCUUUCCUGCCCUUGGCCAGACUUGGCUGAGCUCCACAUGUCCUAGGCUGAAGAACCAACCAUAAUCUAGAACACGCUGCUCUCAUGGGGGAGGCAGGCCGGAGACAGCAAGCAGAAGAUGCUCUUCAAAGCUCUUCUGGGACCUGGAACACCAGUUCAACCUGUCUGCACUCCAGUGGCCACAGCAAGUCACGUGCCCCAGCCCGGUCACAGUGGGGAGAGGCUGUGUAAUCCUCUUGCAAGA